RNAcentral lists this transfer RNA (74 nucleotides) under Lachnospiraceae bacterium C10. RNAcentral's name for it is "tRNA_Arg_CCG". It matches the Rfam family "tRNA". From Rfam's summary of the family: Transfer RNA (tRNA) molecules are approximately 80 nucleotides in length. Their secondary structure includes four short double-helical elements and three loops (D, anti-codon, and T loops). Lineage: Bacteria; Bacillati; Bacillota; Clostridia; Lachnospirales; Lachnospiraceae. RNAcentral also lists the same sequence under 3 other names. The record is from RNAcentral.
GUAGGCGUAGCGUAGUUGGAUAACGCAUCAGACUCCGACUCUGAAGAUCGCUGGUUCGAAUCCAGUCGUCUACA